GAAGUGAUAGUCUACAGAUACAAGAUUGUUAGAAAAAGUAUGCAGACCGCAGUUGACAAGAAUUGUGCAGAGUAAAGAAUUUGGUUAUCUUGAAAGUUGUUGCUCAGAAAAGAAAGGAUCGGUUGGGGGAAUCAAGGGAUCGACCAUGAGUUGUUUUGAUAUGGGCAGAUUAAGAUAAGGUCAGAACUAAUAUCCACAACUCCUUUCAAAGAUUGUUCAGUAAAGAGUGUACAUAUACGUUUUCAGAA
Molecule: long non-coding RNA, 248 nt
Filed under: Brassica rapa (field mustard)
Lineage: Eukaryota; Viridiplantae; Streptophyta; Magnoliopsida; Brassicales; Brassicaceae
Description: long non-coding RNA (BRAP_LNC002466)
Source: RNAcentral